Long non-coding RNA from Bombus pascuorum, 5831 nucleotides. RefSeq lists it as uncharacterized. The transcript has 2 exons. NCBI's taxonomy places the organism in Eukaryota, Metazoa, Arthropoda, Insecta, Hymenoptera, Apidae. The record is from RefSeq and is a predicted model, not a curated record.
GUUUUUAUAAAAUGAAAUAUUCGUCUUGGCAACUUAAACUAUCGAAGAAAGAUGUUCAUCAAAUAUAUCCACAAGGACGACAAACGGAGACUGCGCAAAAGACAUUUAAAUAAUAUAGUGUUUCGUAUUUCGAAGAAAAUAUAAGUAAGAAUGACAACUUUGUGCAAGAAACAUUGUGCCAAUUGAAGUCCUCAUUCUCACACUCAGGAUUUAUAAUCAACCGUACAAAUUUAGUGAUGGUAUUACUUGGUCUCUGCAUUGUCGCUAACAAUCUGCGUCGUAAUAAAUCAUUUCCUCGACAUUGAUUGAAAGCUUAAUUGUACAAAAGACUGGCAAGUCUUAAAAUUUUUUAACGAUCCAAUUAUCGAACUAUCCAACUUGUUUAAAUGCAUUUAGUUUUACAAUUUAUAAUUUCAAAUUAUAAAUAAUAUUACGAAAAUAUUUUUACUGACGUAAUUAAUUAAAAAUGAACAAACAGUAUUUUUUAAAAUAUUUUCAAAAUGGAUAGGCAAUUUUUAGAUGGUUUGAAGAAAUAUAUAUAUAUAUAUCGCAACAAUUGCUGAAGGUGUGCACCAAAGCAAGACUGCGAUUUAAGGUGAUGCGCAUCCGCGAGCGUACUUACACGCAUUCAUAGACACGCUUACACACGUACGAUAUUAUUAUCUCGUGAUUCAUAGCGCGCAUUCAUAAAUGUUCCCAAGCUGUAUAACGGCACGGUACACAGCGGUAUGUAUCGAUUAACGUCGCUUCCCGACGGGAUUUACAGCCGGUGACUAAAUUAUUUAAAGUCUUCAUUUGUAGCGCGACGGAUGGACGGACACGACCUGGCGACCACGUAUCCAGUUCUUCUUCGGGCGACCUGGUACAAUCGCUGACAAAAGUUCAUUAUAUCUUCGACCUCGACCAAAGCCCCGUUGAUGCACGUAUAUACAAUGUUCGCUUCGUUUCAGUUUGGAGUUACUGUUGUUGCAUUUUCAAGACGUAAGCGUCUUACACGAAGGUGAUAGUCCACGGUAGGACAUGAAACAAUAGAAAAUAAAACACGGACAAAUUUUGCGCGUACGAAAAUUAAAUUUAAGAUGUAAGGCAUCGCUGUAUGAACUUUUGUAAUAUAGUAAAUUAUAAAAAACAAUUUGUUGAAUAUUUGAUCGUGAACAAAAAAAAUGUGUUCAAUUUCUGGUUGCCGGUGAACUUUUGCACGUGAGUAUACGCAAGAAAGAUUGCCGGAUUGUGUGGCGUGCCGCGGCUGCCACCGUCCGCGCCACGAACGUCCAAAUGCUCCAGAGAAGAAGAAAGGGAAACAGAGAAGUAGGAGAGAAACCGAUCGGUCAAGAAAGAAAUAAAGACGAAAAGCUAAAUAGAAAAGGAAGAAGAGAGAAGAGAAGAGAAGAGAAAAGAAGAGAAGAGAAGAGAAGGGAAAAGAAGGGAACAGAAGGGACGAGAAGAGAAGAGAAGACAAGAGAAGAGAACAGUGUUGCAGGCGUCCAUGGAAGGCACGUCGUGCAGAACGUCGGCGAACUCGUGUGUGUUCCGUGUUCCGAAUGCACGGAACAAGCGCUGCUUGUCCGCGGCCACCUGAGUUAUGAUCGCUCUGUGCCCACCCUGGCUGCUCGGCUGGCUGCUUGGCUGCCUACCUCCUUGCUUCCCUAACUGCCCUCUUCUUCUUCACCCUUCUACUUUCACAGCGGCCAUCUUGACUCCAGGAACCGGUUAGCUCCUCCGACUUGGUAUAUUCCACACGGUGAGUUUUACGGACACACAUAAACACCGAAUGAACAGUGUUCGGCGACAUCAGCGACUGUAGCGCCCUCGGAAGUCCAUCCGAGUCUACUCGACGUUAAUGGCUCGUGUGGCGCGAGUUCCUUUGUACUGUUUAAUAACGUCGUUAUAUUACCAAGCACGGUCGUCCGGCAGAAUUGAUUUUUAAAUCCACUCGUUUCAAAGCACCGCCCCGAUUCGCUUGCCUUUGUCGAUGCUUUGAAACAUCGAUGCACGGAUGCGUUAGUUAUCGAUAGUUGUUCUCGAUGCUCGUUUGAAGGAUCAAAGCGCAACCGCGAUUAUCGUUGCGUUGAGCUGGAGAAAUUUUAAAGAUAUUACAAAAGAAGAAAAACCACGGAUUGUUUCUCGCGAAACGCGUGAACCGGGAGAUAACACGCUUUAAUAUUCACCUUCGUGCACGUCUCGAUAGCUGUGUAAGAUUUAUCUUUCAUUAGUAAGUCAUUUGCAUUGAAUAGACACGUUAUGGGUUAACGGGUGUCUCGUUAAUUGUUUGUUCCUGUUCCUUGUCUAACUGCUGACGCCGAUACUGGCGUGGCCUGACGCUUUGACAAGGUACACCGUAGAUAUUACAGCGGUUUGUAGUAUAGCAUAUCAAAUUGCGGUAUGCGAAAAGGUGUAAGAGAGCCAACCGCAGCCCACGGCAACGAGGCGUGGUCGCCGCAAUUACCUCGAUAGAGUUACAAGACUUGUUUUAUGCUCUCGCACAAAUUUAUUAGCCCCAUUCGCGUCAGUUUAAUUACGAAUAAGAUCCGCUGUGAUUCUUUCUCUUUUUCCUCCUUCUCUUUUUCCUAGAGGAAACGUACAGACGUUACAGCUACUUCUUCAUGAGGAUCGGGAACUUCAUUCGGGACCAGUGCAUCUAUACGUGUUACUACACGUUCGAAAAUCCCAAUGAAUUAUAUUUACACAGAAGCGCGCUUGAUAUCAAUCGCGUUCAUUUUAUACUAGACGCAUUCCUUGAAACUCCUGCGGUAAUUAGUUUUACCGCUAAACGCUUAGCGGAACCCGAGAGGCUGCUAACUGCUUUCCACCUACGCAACACCGCUUCGCUUCUUCCCUUCUCUACACCUAUUUUCCCUCUUUCUCUCUCUUUGCUCUUUCCAUCCUCAUCAUCGUUAUUCCGCUCGCUUUUUCUCCCUUUACUCCCUCGAAUCUAGGUACCGCCUCGUCGACUCUCUCGCUUCGCCGCUAACAGUGAGCAAUUAAGCAGAGCAAAGCCAAGGAAUAUGUAUUAUGAAAUUAAUUAUAUCGUGAUAUUGGAGUCGCGAGCUGGUGUGCAAGGUGUAGAUAAGCAUUUAAAUUGACACAUUCCUGAUGUAUCUUAGGCUGUGUGGAUAUCGCGUUUACGAUAAACAUUGAUUUUAUUACUGCUUCGACUGUAUGCUGCAGCAGCAGCAGCAGCAGCAGCAGCUUUUACAGCCACACAUGCAGAUAAGCAUUUUAUAUUCUGUACUUGCUAAGUUAAUUAUUUUGAGUUCCAUGCACGAUUUUUUUAAAUAUCUUUCACUUGCGUUUGCAUAUUAUUUACAAAUUACAUGUAGAUACUUUCUCUUAAUUCCUGUUACCGUAAGGGUUAGUAAAAAAAAAAGUAAUAUUGAAAAUAUUGCGUCGCAAAGUUAGAUUAAGAUAAAUUUUCAUUAAUAUCGUUAUCAAUAAAAAAUUAUACUUUCUACGCAAAUAAGUCGUGGAAAAAAUAUUGGAAAUGACGCGUGUCCUGUUUGUACUCGUAAACGGAGAUUCGUUAAAGGAAAGAAGAAACAGCGAAGAAUGUCAGUAAGCGUGGCGCUCGACAUCGAAUCGCAGCCCCUCCACAAACGUGGAAGACAAAUCGGCCCCGGUGGGUGCAAACGUCGUAAUUAUCGGAGGCGGUAAUCUCUCGACGUGGAAGUGGAGGAUGAGGAGAAGGAAGAAGAAGAGGCGCUCAGUGAAAACUGCGUGACAGAGUGGCUCGGCCUGUUCACCCUUGGCGUCCUCCGAGUUGGCGUACCCUUUUGCCCGGAGUGUCGGCCAUACAUUACCGCCGUUAGAGCCCGCCAGCACUAUAUUAUUCCCUGACACGGCGUGGCGUGGCGUGGCGUAGUAUGGUGCGGUGUGGUAUGGCAUGGCGUACUGUAAAACGACGCGGCGUGAGCAGAAGAGAAACGGAGAAAGUGAAAGAGAGAAGUUUGAGAAGGGGAAGGAGAGAAAGAGGGAAAGAGAGAGAGAGAGAGAGAGAGAAGCGGAAGAAGGAGGCGCAAGGAGGACAGGGAUACAACAGAACGGUUGGGGUAGGAAGGGUGAAAGGCGAGAGAAUACGAAAAGAGAAAACAAGAGUAAGAAGGAGAGGAGCGGGGAGAGAAAAAGAGAGAAAGAGACGCGGAAGAAUUGGAGGGAGAUAGAAAACCGGUACACUCGACUGCUGAUAAACUACCCUCUGCGCUCACUUCGCAGGUAUAAUAAAAUUAUAUCUGGUCGGCUGUAUCGCGAUUCUGGCUGCGAGCGGCGAGGUCGGCACAAAGUUGCCGCCUGCGCGCCUACGGCGGCCGUGAUAAAUAACGUUACGCAGGCCGAGAAGCGGCGGGCUGCAUAAGCAUGGCCCUGAUUCCACGUCGCGGCACUUCUCGAGUCACGGCCACGCCAUGGUAAGCCGCACCGUGGCCACGCCACGCCGCGCCGCGCCGUGCCACUACCGCGGCUGCGGCCAGCACGCGGACACAGACGUGUACCGGUGUACCACCAUCGCUUUCAGAACUGCUGCUGCCGCCGCUGCUGUUGCUGUUCCUGUUGCUAUUGCUAUUGCUGGACCAUAGCUGGAUUUCGAACGCGCAUACAAUCACAAUCUUUCUACAAGAUCCUAACACCUUUCCUAUGUGUAGCUUGAAGCACGUGGAACGUCCAUUUCGCUUCGUUAUACGCUCUGGCAAACGAGCGGACACGCCAAAGCCAAAAUCAACGCCAGAGGUUGAGCGCUGUGCACUUCUGUGCGCUUCACUCAACUCGUUCGUAAAUUAUAAGUCUUGGGGACAUGGUUCGGCUUGAAAUACUGGUACUGACACGCGCAGUGGGACGCGGAUGCAUAAACGCGCCGACGAACUGGAAAACGACGCAGCGGCUUUCGAACAGGGACGUCCGGAACGUUCGUUCCAGUUAGCGCGGAACGUCGUAUAUGCGACGUGAAUACGACAUCGCGUGACAGUCCACUCGUACACUCCGCUUCGUCGACUUUAUCGGACGCGAUACCGUGAUUCAGGCAUUCGACGAUGGUAUCAUCGCACGCCUGCCGCUUCGAGCAGGUGAAUUUAUUCCUUUUUCAAACUGACUUUAACAUGACCGCCAUUCUAGAUCGAUCUUUGUUAUAUUUCUUCCACCCGAUAUUUACGAGUCUUUGAAACGUAUCUAAAAAUAUACGUGUAGCUACAUAUUUUCAUACUUUAAUCGAUCAAUAAAGCUUCUUUCUCACGAGCCUUAAGUAUUUUAACGUUUAAAUCGAGUAAAUGACGUGUUAAAGAAAAAUUGACGUGUCUAAAAUUUUCUAUUUAAACUGACAUGACAUAUUGCUGGAAAACUGCCAAAGAAUCAUCCCACUCAUCAGCAUUUAAAGUACGUUCAAGAUGCAUUGCCAAACGUGCCAGUGAUUAACAGAUGCCGCAGUUGUUAGCAACUACCAAACAAAUCGAGGCUUAUCACGGAUUACAUCUCCCCGAGGGGCUCUUACUUCCUACGACGAAACUAGGAUCUAUACUUGGAUGCCAGAUUUCGAAUAUUAUACCUUGCCUGCCACUUCCCGCUGUCAUGGCUUAUGUCACCCUGUCUUUUCUUUACCUGUCAGGUAGAAAGACACAACCCUGUUCCCUAAUGGGAAACCUCUUUUGCUAGGAUAAAGAGGACGUUAUUUUCGUAGGAUUGAUACCGAGCAAAUACAUUGCAUUGUAAAAUUAGUAAUAUCUCUAUGGAAUGUUCUAGAUCCUAUACCAACAACAAACAGCGAAUAAUCCAUCGCAUCAAGAGAAUUUUCUGUGCGUAAUUCCGAACAUAUUUUUAAGGUGAUAUUAUAUUUAUAGCAGUGGGUUUGG